CAGUGCUUCAGAUUUUGCUUUCAAAACGUCUUAUAGAUAAGAAGAGUAUAGGCAGGGCUUUCUUCCAUUCGAACGACCUGUUCUUGAAAAGAUUUGUGGAGCGUUAUCAACCGGGCAUUCCGCAGCUCCUAGACUUGUGUACCAAAAUAAAGGUUGAAGAUGAUGUUGUAAGCAGUGGAAACUAAGAUUUCGACCUACCAUGUUCCUCCUUCCUUGAUCCAAAUUCUAUCGAAUCCCUAUUUGAUGAAGACAAAACCAUUGUUUGGGCUCUUGCUUGUCAAUUUAGAGGUGCCUUGCAAGGCACAACAACAAAAAUGUGUCUCCAAAAUCUUCGUUGAAGAAAGAUAAGAUAAACAAAGGAUAUGUUUCAAGUGAAGGAUAUUGAGGAGGGAAUGAAGCGGUUUUUUUAUUUUAUGGAGAUUUCUAUGAAGAAACAUGAUGU
Humulus lupulus (European hop) is the source of this 442-nucleotide long non-coding RNA. RefSeq lists it as uncharacterized. The record is from RefSeq and is a predicted model, not a curated record. Lineage: Eukaryota; Viridiplantae; Streptophyta; Magnoliopsida; Rosales; Cannabaceae. The transcript is spliced from 4 exons.